AUCAAGCCCCGUCUCCCUCUCACAGCUUCUGAGGUCAGCUCUCCGUGAGGAAGACUGUCCAGAGGAAGGCAAGUCCUCCGCCACAGAUCCCUGCAGAAGCAGGUGCCCGUGUUGUUUUCCAAGUUCAAGGUCUUUCUGUGGCUGCAGCCAAGAAGAGGUUCUAGGGAAUCUGAUAAGAAACGGCACUAAUUAACACUAAUUUGCUGGGAGGCUUGUCUGGCACAUUAAAUUAGAAGAAAAAAAUGCACACACAAUUUCAGAAAUAUUUUUGCUGCUGGACUCCCAACUGAACAUCUAAUAUUUCAGUGUGCGAAGAGGAAGUAUGGCCUGGGAGAGCUGUGCUAGGAACAGAUGGGGACCAAGAGAUUCUGCAACACUGGUGCAUCGACCCAAAGCUACACAGCUGCUUGAGCUUCUGCUCACACCUCAGCAGGCCCAUGUGAGGAACAGCAGCCAGAGAGACAGCCCCCACACAAAGCGUAAAGAGUGCAGCUUCCCGAGAGAAGAGGGACCAGCAAGAGGGGCCGAGGCUGUCUGCACUGAACUCUGCAUUCCCUUCCCAGUAAGAAGUCAUGCAAAAUCCAAGCUUGCGUCUCACAAUGGAGUGCUCUGUUAUCCAGUAUGGUAGCUGCAAACGUAAUGCAGCUAUUAAAUUUUUUGCCAACAUCAAAUACAUUUCCAAGGACAGCUCCACGGGACAAGACAGAGCAGCUUUGGACUGCUCUGUGGUUGUUGGAGAGGCAGAUUGCAUUGGAGCCAGUUAGAAAAGCAAGUCCAGCUGCAGAACUUGCAUGGGGGCAAGACCUUUGAGUGAGGACCCAGGGCACCUAAAAGUCUGUGUCCCGCUGGCUGCUCAGUUCCCUGAAGUAACUGUGAGAGAGCGUUAACCUCUGAGCUUAUGGGGGACUCUGAACAAUUUCUCUUCACUUCCCUUCACACUGGCACGUGUGUGCAUGUGUGUGUACAUGCGUGCAUGCAUGUGUGUGUUUCCCCAUCCAUCCUUCCACCCAUCUACCCACCCAUGUGCCUACUUAUACCUGUGGAAGCAUCAUUGUGCACUUUGCCAUGAUGAACAUGGAGAGGUCAUAACACAAGCUUGGGUGUUGGGCCUCAGUGUUCACUUUGUUUGAGUUGGGGUCCCUUGCUCACUGGCCCAGGAGCUGACCUCACCAUGGUAGCACUGCAAUUCCAGAUGCCUGUGUUGCAUCAGGAUCACUUGGAUUCUGGGGAUUCAGACUCCGGUUCUCACUGUUGGGAGGCAAGAGCUUUAUCCACUGAGUCAUCUCCC
This 1288-nucleotide long non-coding RNA is filed under the name Cricetulus griseus (Chinese hamster). RNAcentral describes it as "lncRNA (ENSCGRG00015036379.1)". Lineage: Eukaryota; Metazoa; Chordata; Mammalia; Rodentia; Cricetidae. The record is from RNAcentral.